RNAcentral lists this ribosomal RNA (215 nucleotides) under uncultured bacterium. Its description in RNAcentral is "partial 16S ribosomal RNA". It matches the Rfam family "Bacterial small subunit ribosomal RNA", at positions 28 to 252 of the family's 1533-position model. The record is from RNAcentral.
GACGAACGCUAGCGGCGUGCCUAAGGUAUGCAAGUCGAACGGGGGGAGCAAUCCCCUAGUGGCGAACGGUCGAGUAACACGUAGACAACCUGCCUCCCAGUGGGGGGAUACCCGCUCGAAAGGGCGGCUAAUACCGCAUGUGGUCCGGAGCGGCAUCGCUUCGGUACUAAAGGUUUACUGCUGGGAGAUGGGUCUGCGCCCUAUCAGCUUGUGGC